Molecule: long non-coding RNA, 399 nt
Organism: Acinonyx jubatus (cheetah)
Lineage: Eukaryota; Metazoa; Chordata; Mammalia; Carnivora; Felidae
Exons: 3
Source: RefSeq, a predicted model, not a curated record
AGAGAGAUCACGGCUGAGACUUUUCCAGAGUUACUGGAAUCUAAGCAAGAUGAAAAGGAAUACACAGCAUGAACCACCACCGGCAAAGCUCAGAAUACCAACUAGGAUAGAGGGGAUUUUUCCAAAGUAGCCACAUCCCUUGUAGCGAGGACCCAGCUCGGCCCUGCGGUCAGUGACGGACUCAGCUUCCCGAGGAAGCCGGAUCUGUUUUCAGACCCCUCAUUACUAAUACUCGGUUCUACAUAUGGAAAGUCCUUCAGGCCUCCCCAAGCUUUCAGGUCAUGAUCUCGUGAUUCGUGAGACCGAGCCCCGCACUGGGCUCUGCACCGUGAGUGGAGCCUGCUUGGGAUUCUCGAUCUCUACCUCCGCCCCUCCCCCACUCGCGCGUGCACGUUCUCU